RNAcentral lists this unclassified non-coding RNA (329 nucleotides) under soil metagenome. RNAcentral's name for it is "partial contains 5.8S ribosomal RNA, internal transcribed spacer 2, and large subunit ribosomal RNA". The stretch from base 1 to 120 matches the Rfam family "5.8S ribosomal RNA", at positions 35 to 154 of the family's 154-position model. The record is from RNAcentral.
GAUGAAGAACGCAGCGAAAUGCGAUAAGUAAUGUGAAUUGCAGAAUUCAGUGAAUCAUCGAAUCUUUGAACGCACAUUGCGCCCCCUGGUAUUCCGGGGGGCAUGCCUGUUCGAGCGUCAUUACAACCCUCAAGCUCUGCUUGGUAUUGGGCCCCGCCAGUUCUGGCGGGCCCUAAAGUCAGUGGCGGUGCCUUCCGGCUCCGAGCGUAGUAAUUCUUCUCGCUAUGGAGUCCUGGUGGAUGCUUGCCAUCAACCCCCAAUUUUUCUAUGGUUGACCUCGGAUCAGGUAGGGAUACCCGCUGAACUUAAGCAUAUCAAUAAGCGGAGGA